GUGUCCACCAUGCUGGCCAUGCUCUGCUUGUCGUGGUCCUUCUUCCACUGGGUCAUCCAGAAGCCACGCAGCCUCACAUCCCUGAAGAUGAAGGCACUCACUGGCACUGUCACGGGUUGCUUUGCCAUUCCUCCAUAGGUCACCAUGGUCCCUUUGGGUUGCAGGUGCCGCAGCAUCUCCGUCGUGCUCCUGCCUCCAACGCAGUUCAGGGCAAGCCGGGGCUUCGGGAUGCUCUUAAAUAUCUCCUUCAUCUCCGGCUUCCUCAGCGCAUCCUCCGUCACGACGUGGUCUGCACCCAAGGCCAGCAGCCGCUCCACCAGCUGGGGAAGGUCGGGUCUGUCCCUCACCACAUUGAUGGUCCUGAUGCCCAUAGCCUUUGCGAUCUGGAUGACAGCCUGCCCCACGCCGCUGUUGGCCGCGUUCUGGAUGACGGAGUCCCCUGGCGCCAGGCUCUCGAAGUCGCUCAGCAUGCGGAACGCCGUGCAGGGGUUGACGCUGAGCGUGGCAGCGCACAGCAGUGGGACGUCGCCGGGCACCCGCAGCAGGCUGUGCUCGGGGAGCACCGCGUGUGUCCGCCACGUCCCAAGCCCGGCGUCAGCAGGGAUGAUGCAGUCCCCAGGGCUCAGUGCCACCACGCCAGGGCCGACCUCCAGCACGCGCCCAACGCCUUCACUGCCUGCCACGGCUGGCAGCGGGGCCAGGAGGGCAUAGGUGCCUUGGAUCAUGUUGAUGUCGGCCGGGUUGAUGGGCGCCGCCAGCAUCUUAAUGAGGACAUCUGAGUGUCCCAGUGCAGGCAGCUCCAGCUCCUUCAGCUGCAGGACGUCCGCCGGCUCCCCGUGCCGCUCAUAGAGCAGCCCUCGCGGGGGGGUCCCGGCGGCUGCACAGAGCGCCCGCACGGGGGGAGCCCGCAACCCACGCAGCCCACGCAGCACCCGCGCUACCGCUCGCUGCAUCCCAGCACGGCCCGGCCCGGCACAGCGCGGCUUCGGCAGCGUCACGGGGG
Molecule: long non-coding RNA, 1003 nt
Filed under: Gallus gallus (chicken)
Lineage: Eukaryota; Metazoa; Chordata; Aves; Galliformes; Phasianidae
Source: RNAcentral